Long non-coding RNA from Ailuropoda melanoleuca (giant panda), 2760 nucleotides. The record is from Ensembl. Lineage: Eukaryota; Metazoa; Chordata; Mammalia; Carnivora; Ursidae.
AUGACAGGUCAGCUGUGCCUGGCGGACUCCACUGAGGCUUGGCAGUCUUGCCAGGGACUCAGGCCUACUGCAGCUCUUGGUGUCCGAGAGGAGGGCUGGGGUCUUGCUUCCUUAGGUCUGUGGUGGUACAUGUGGAAUAUGAUCCCCGGAGAAAGCCGCACUCCCAAGCGCCCUCCUCCAUCACCAGAGAUGCCCCAGGCACUGGGCCCCCCGAGUUUGGGCCUGGGCACCGUUCUCCCUCAGCUCCCAGCCUGCCCCCUCCAGGCACCUCCGAGAUGUGGCCUUCCUACUUGCAGCUCUCUACCAGCACUGCCGUGUCCCUCUCCUGUCCUAACCGUGCUCUGUUCCGUCAGCCACUCUGCCUCAUGCCCUUUGUUUCUUCAUGCUCUACCUCCCCAUUAUGCCCCGUUGUUACACCGCAGAUCCUUUCCGAACGUCACCUGGUUUCUCCUAAAAAUCCUCUCCAUGCAUUGCCGCUCUCCCUCACCUUCUCACUCUUUACUUCUGUUUUGCAAACUUGGCCCUCAUCCCACCGCGUGGAAAUAGUCUAGGAGAAGUCACCAGGGACCACGUAGUUACUGAAUUCAGAAGUCUUUUCUCAAUCUUCCAUCUUCGUGUCCACACUCAGUGACCAGAGUAUUUGAUAUGGUUGCCCUUAUUUUCCCCAUUUUCUGAGAUUUCCCUCCCAAAUGUUCUUCAUUCCUUUCUCUUCUUUUACUGGAAGGCCAGUCCUUGAGACCCUUUUCUUUCUUGACAGGUGGUUCUCAAACUUUGGACUAGCCAUGGAACUCAGUGGUGGGGAGGGCAGCUUUUACUAAAAAUUGCGAUUACUAGGCACAGCCCCCAGAGCUGUUUAUUCAGUGGCCCUGGAGUAAAGCAUGGAAAUCGGAACAUUCAGCCAACUCCCUGGGUGUUUCCCAUGCAGGCUCUCAGGGGACCACAUGGUGAGAUAGUGUACUCUCCCUUGGGGCUCUCUAACCCUGGCUUUCCUCCCCCGUAACUUCCCUAGCUCCCUGUGUCCCCACUGGGCAGUGCAGGAGUGUGUUUCUAGCUCAGCUGGAAGCCCUGUGACGUCCUCAGACUCCCUCCCCAGGCCCACCCCCUGCAUCUGUCCCUUGCUCUCCGUCCCCACCCUGCCACAAAGUCCCCCCCUUGUCCUUGUCCUGCCAGCGCCCACCAGUCAUGCUGUCAGGGCCUCCCGGGGGCAGCAGCCGCUGACCAGUCAGCCCACCCCUCCCUCCCAGACUCCACAGUGCUCCCAGAUUUAUCUUCCAGAACCACAUUGCUGGUCACACCCGUAUCUCUGUUCAGUGAUCUUCAGUGCCUCGCGACCAGAGCAGCAAGCCCAGCCCUCCCGAGUGUCGUAUCUGUGCCGUCCACCCCGUGGCCACGCGUGACUGCCCACUUUGAGUAGCCCUUCUAUGGACGCGCACUGCAGCCCACACAUUCCCGCAGUUACCCGUGGGCUCCUGCCUCUGCGUGCACGUCUUUCCUCUGCUAGAGAUGCCCUUUCUCCCAAGUGGCUUCCCCCUCGAAGGCCCCGCCUGCGUCUCCUUUGUACCCUUGUCCAUGCUUCUGACCAGAAGCAACCCCAUGGCGCUCUGUGACCCACAGCACUUGUGUCUGGCUUUCGGCACUCGCCGUGCCGGCUGGUGUCACCGCUGCUGAUUGUGUACCGUGUCUCACCUCCCUUUCUAGACUGUGAGCUCCUCGCGGGCAGGGACCGUCUGUGUUCACUCUUUGUAUUUCCCCUGGCACCUAGCACAGUGCUUCGCACUUAGUAGGUGCUCAAUAAACGUCUGCUCAAUGGACCUGGACGACAGUGCCUUCUUGACCGCGGUAUCUGGCAGCCAAUAACACGGGAAAUCACGCCGUCGGCAUUUGCACCAGGGAAUCCCUCUGCUGCGGCGGACUGCAGGUGGGGUGUCUGUCCGGCUCUCCCUUCUCUCCAAGGCUCCCAACACAGUGUGCGGUCCAGGGGUGGGCACCGGACAGGCUGAGCUAAGCCCCGUGUGCCCACUUCCUGCGGAGCAGGACCGCGAGAUUCCUGGGCAGGAGUGCCAGGCUGCUGUUGGGGUAGUCAAUGGCCCCCUUCUGCCGAUGUGGAGAAACGCACUUCCCUUUUGCUUAAGCCAGUUCAAGUUGGGCUUACGACCCUGGAAAUCAAGAGUCUUGAGUAAAAUGGGUGUCACAGCCCCUAGAUUCAGCAGACAAAAUGGGAGAGGCUCAUCAUAUCUUUAGAAAGAUCCCAAAGACUGGUACAAACAGAACUUAGAGGAGUGUUUGCUCCCAUCAGAAAAUGGCGGUCAGAGGCUGACAAUUUCUGAUUUAUUGGAAACUUUCCCUCCCACCUCAAGGAGAGCUCUGUCCCCACCUGCAAGCAGUCUGUUUCCUGCUGCUGCUUUUCCUUCUCAACAGCCCCACUUCCUCUCGAGGCUGUCUGAAACAUUCCCUGAUGUGAAUUUCUCCGUUCAGUUCCCCAGCUGGGCAGACACCAGGCCUCUCUGUCCGGAGUCAGACCUUCCCCUGUCCUUCCAUGUGCUCAUCUGUAAACCAGGCGUAAGGGAAUCACACAUCCUACUUCAGGGGCAUCAUACAGAAUAGGUGUGUCAUACCCACGGAGCGUCCACGACGGUGUCUGACACUGGGCCCCACUCAGUGACAUUCAGAGCCAUUGCUGGGGCUCUGAUCAGCAGCAACCCCUCUAGGACACCCACACUGUUUACACUCUCACGGUUCACCCCACAUCUCCUAACCAAA